AGCUUUGUAGUUGAAUAACAACAUUAAAUUGCAGCUUUAAAAGUGUAUGAUUACCAAGGCUU
This 62-nucleotide transfer RNA is filed under the name Glycinde armigera. RNAcentral describes it as "tRNA-Cys". The record is from RNAcentral. Lineage: Eukaryota; Metazoa; Annelida; Polychaeta; Phyllodocida; Goniadidae.